This 577-nucleotide long non-coding RNA is filed under the name Malus domestica (apple). RNAcentral describes it as "long non-coding RNA (MDOM_LNC006826)". The record is from RNAcentral. Lineage: Eukaryota; Viridiplantae; Streptophyta; Magnoliopsida; Rosales; Rosaceae.
AUGUUCAUGGCUUCAAACUUCCCCCUAACUAAAUAGGGGUUUAGUUCCUCAUGUUCACAAAACAAAGAUAAACAGAAUUAUACAUUGAAAACAAAAGAAAGAAAACACCUAAACGUUCCAACGAUCCAUGUUGGAUAGCAAGCACGUACAAGAACUUUCCUCUUCUUCUUUGCUGCAACACAAGGUUGGAGUGAUGUUUUGAAGGGUUGGUUAUGUGGAGGAAUGGAUGGGAAGGAGUUUAGAUAUGUAGGGAGAGGCAAGGCAAGGCUUGGAGAAUGGUUAAUUUCUGGAUGCCUUCAACGAGGCUGCUGCCAUGGGUAUUUAUAGGGAGAGGAUGGACUUGUUUAAUUCAAUUUUCUGGUGGAAAACAAGUAGGUGAUGUUGGAAAUAUGCCCUGAAAGUCAAUCUUUGGAAGAAAUCUUUCAGGACAAAUAAAUGAAUGUAUGGAUGAAUCUUAUACAUCAAAGGCAAAGACACGAAUUAGGACUAUCUCAAUAAACGAAAUAUGUCCUUAAUAGUGCAUCCAUGGACAAUGGAUCGAUUGAAGAAGUAAUCUAAUGAUGUUAGACUACAGAGA